ACCUGCAGUAGGAUCAUUG
This 19-nucleotide ribosomal RNA is filed under the name Araucaria montana. RNAcentral's name for it is "partial 18S ribosomal RNA". The record is from RNAcentral. Lineage: Eukaryota; Viridiplantae; Streptophyta; Pinopsida; Araucariales; Araucariaceae.